Long non-coding RNA from Gossypium arboreum, 552 nucleotides. RefSeq lists it as uncharacterized. NCBI's taxonomy places the organism in Eukaryota, Viridiplantae, Streptophyta, Magnoliopsida, Malvales, Malvaceae. The record is from RefSeq and is a predicted model, not a curated record. The transcript has 3 exons.
UCUAUUCUCAGACCGAUUAUGCACAAUAUUCGUAUCCUUGAAAAUAAUUUCGAAAAAGUCUCUUACUUUUUUGUUUCUCAUGCGGUUAACAGAGCAGCUCGCACCUUGACUUUGGAAGGAAGAAGACAACAAAUCUCUUACGUUUGGGUAGAUGGAGCUCUAAAAUCAGUGAGGAAUAUGGCAAAUAAGGAUCAGAUGGUUGGGAUCCAGAAUCGCUAAGUUUCUUUUUGGGAUCGCUUUGACUAUGGAGAAGGUUCAAAGAAUCUCUAUGGAUGGGUUCAAAGCUUUUUACUCUUCUUUAUUUUGCUUAUUUCAGAUAAGUUUUUACACAAAGAGAAGAUAGGUGUUGGCUGAUAUUUCUGCUUUUGAGUCAUUGGGUAUCUGGCAUAAGGAGUGUAUUGGUGCUAGCCUUUGCCUCUGUGGUAUUGUGUGAUGUUGAGGGUAGACCAAUUGCUUCCUUUCCCUUACGCUUGGGUUGCAUUUUCGUUAAUCGCCUGGGAGCAUAUAAUCAACCUUUUUCAGCGGUUUAAGUGGAUUGAACCAUCUUAGCUG